RNAcentral lists this small RNA (135 nucleotides) under Brugia malayi. RNAcentral's name for it is "RNA transcript Bm16633". The record is from RNAcentral. Lineage: Eukaryota; Metazoa; Nematoda; Chromadorea; Rhabditida; Onchocercidae.
UGAGACAGGGUUUCUCUGUGUAGCCUUGGCUGUCCUGGACUUACAUUGUAGAUCAGGCUGGCCUCAAACUCACAGAGAUCUGCCUGCCUCUGCCACCAAGUGCUGGGAUUACAGGCAAGUGCCUCCACGCCCGGC